Small nucleolar RNA from Carcharodon carcharias (great white shark), 66 nucleotides. RefSeq annotates it as small nucleolar RNA SNORD58. NCBI's taxonomy places the organism in Eukaryota, Metazoa, Chordata, Chondrichthyes, Lamniformes, Lamnidae. The transcript has a single exon. The record is from RefSeq and is a predicted model, not a curated record.
UUGCAAUGAUGAUUUUCUUAGGACACCUUUGGAAUAAUCAUGAAAACAUUUCUAAUUCUGAGCUUC